Molecule: ribosomal RNA, 926 nt
Filed under: uncultured marine bacterium
Lineage: Bacteria
Description: bacterial SSU rRNA
Rfam family: Bacterial small subunit ribosomal RNA
Source: RNAcentral
UGCAGCCAAGGAGAACGUUUUCUUCGGAAAGCUAUUAAACUGGCGGACGGGUGACUAUUGCGUAGGCAACCUGCCCCCAUGACAGGGAUAACAUCGGGAAACUGGUGCUAAUACCGGAUGUGGUCUUUGUAUCACCUGAUACGGAGAUUAAAGAUGGGUUUCUAUCACAUGGGGAUGGGCCUGCGUCCCAUUAGCUUGUUGGUAGGGUAACGGCCUACCAAGGCAACGAUGGGUAGCUGGUCUGAGAGGAUGAUCAGCCACACUGGGACUGAGAUACGGCCCAGACUCCUACGGGAGGCAGCAGUGGGGAAUAUUGCGCAAUGCCUGAAAGGGUGACGCAGCGACGCCGCGUGGGUGAUGAAGCUCUAUGGAGUGUAAAGCCCUGUCAGAAGGGAAGAAUAGCCAUGUUUCGAAAGGGAUGUGGUCUGACGGUACCUUCAGAGGAAGCUCCGGCUAACUCCGUGCCAGCAGCCGCGGUAAUACGGGGGGAGCAAGCGUUGUCCGGAAUCACUGGGCGUAAAGGGCGUGUAGGCGGGCUGGCAAGUCAGAUGUGAAAGCCCACGGCUCAACCGUGGAGGGUCAUCUGAUACUGCUGGUCUUGAGUUCGAGAGAGGGUGAUGGAAUUCCCGGUGUAGCGGUGAAAUGCGUAGAUAUCGGGAGGGACACCAGAAGCGAAGGCGGUCACCUGGCUCGUAACUGACGCUGAGGCGCGAAAGCGUGGGCAGCAAACAGGAUUAGAUACCCUGGUAGGCCACGCCGUANACGAUGGGCACUAGGUGUAGGGUUGGCCUCACGGUCGAUUCGGUGCCGCAGCUAACGCAUUAAGUGCCCCGCCUGGGGAGUACGCUCGCAAGGGUGAAACUCAAAGGAAUUGACGGGGGCCCGCACAAGCGGUGGAGCAUGUGGUUUUAUUCGAUGCAACGCGA